UGAGAUUGUUAGAUCGUUAGUUGAGAUUGUUAGAUUGUUAGUUGAAAUUGUUAGAUCGUUGAGAUGUUGAGAUUGUUAGAUCGUUGAGAUGUACCAUGUUUGAGCACAGAGAGGACCUCAUCUGCUGUUUUGAAAGCAUACGAGACUCGGGUAACUUUGACCCCAUUACUGUCAAAGAGGCGGGAGCCUUCGCCAUGCUGCUGGAAGAUCAGGAUUUUAAGUUCUUUCUGCAACUUUUCCACCACAUCAUGCCACAUGUGGACCUCCUCUAUGCCAAACUCCAGAAGAAUGACAUAGAUUCGGUCCAUAUCAAGGGGAGCAGUUCCAGCAGGACAUAUAAAAGAUCAGGUAGGAGCUGUAUUCCAUCUUUUCCUAUUGUUGUUGUUAUUAUUAUGCUAAAUUCUCCUUUGCAGAAAUUCUCUCCAUUCCAUGGUUGACCAAAACAGUGUAGGUGGUUCUCAGCCAGCGAAGAGGCGUCGGUCACUCAGUCUAGAGGUCUGUGAAAGGAUUACAGCAGAGCUGCAGAGAGAGAUUGAUAGCACAACGACUUUGUCUUCUGGUCUGGAGAUACUAUAUCAGUGAGACUACACAUACAGCCAUUACUAGGCUAUGACUGGAUAGCAGGCCUUUUAGAUGCCGAGAGCUCCCUUACUGAACGCUCGGAACAGUUCUUCAGCAAACGGAACGGCUUCCACCAGGUCCCAGAGUCUGGAGGAAGAGUGGAGAGGCACAGAAUCCAAGUUGCUUAAAGUCCAGUGUGAAGUUUCCACAGUCAGUGAUGAUUUGGGGUGCCAUGUCAUCUGCUGGUGUUGGUCCACUGUAUUUUCACAAGUCGAGAGUCAAUGCUGCCAUCUACCAGGAGAUUUUAGAGCACUUCAUGCUUCCAUCUGCUGACAAGCUUUAUGGAGAUGCUGAUUUCCUUUUCCAGCAGGACUUGGUACCUGCCCACAGUGCCAAAACUACUAGUAACUGGUUUGCUGACCAUGGUAUUACUGUGCUUGAUUGGCCAGCCAACGCGCCUGAUCUGAACCCCAUAGUGAAUCUAUGGAGUAUUGUCAAGAGGAAGAUGAGAGACACCAGACCCAACAAUACAGACAAGCUGAAGGCCGCUAUCAAAGCAACCUGGGCUUCCAUAACAUCUCAGCAGUGCCACAGGCUGAUUGCCUUCAUGCCACACCACAUUGAUGCAGUAAUUUGUGCAAAAGGAGCCCCGACCAAGUAUUGAGUGCAUAAAUUAACAUACUUUUCAGAAG
Long non-coding RNA from Myxocyprinus asiaticus (Chinese sucker), 1253 nucleotides. RefSeq lists it as uncharacterized. The record is from RefSeq and is a predicted model, not a curated record. The transcript is spliced from 4 exons. Lineage: Eukaryota; Metazoa; Chordata; Actinopteri; Cypriniformes; Catostomidae.